GAUGAAGAACGUAGCGAAAUGCGAUACGUAAUGUGAAUUGCAAAUUCAGUGAAUCAUCGAGUCUUUGAACGCACAUUGCGCCCCCUGGUAUUCCGGGGGGCAUGCCUGUCCGAGCGUCAUUGCUGCCCUCAAGCACGGCUUGUGUGUUGGGCCCCGUCCUCCGAUCCCGGGGGACGGGCCCGAAAGGCAGCGGCGGCACCGCGUCCGGUCCUCGAGCGUAUGGGGCUUUGUCACCCGCUCUGUAGGCCCGGCCGGCGCUUGCCGAUCAACCCAAAUUUUAUCCAGGUUGACCUCGGAUCAGGUAGGGAUACCCGCUGAACUUAAGCAUAUCAAUAAGCGGAGGA
Molecule: unclassified non-coding RNA, 344 nt
Filed under: soil metagenome
Description: partial contains 5.8S ribosomal RNA, internal transcribed spacer 2, and large subunit ribosomal RNA
Rfam family: 5.8S ribosomal RNA (bases 1-119)
Source: RNAcentral